UACGGAGGGUGCGAGCGUUGUCCGGAUUUAUUGGGUUUAAAGGGUGCGCAGGCGGCCGUUUAAGUCCGGGGUGAAAGCCCACUGCUCAACAGUGGAACUGCCCUGGAAACUGGACGGCUUGAGUACAGACGAGGGCGGCGGAAUGGAUGGUGUAGCGGUGAAAUGCAUAGAUACCAUCCAGAACCCCGAUUGCGAAGGCAGCUGCCUAGACUGUAACUGACGCUGAGGCACGAAAGCGUGGGGAGCGAACAGG
Molecule: ribosomal RNA, 253 nt
Filed under: uncultured bacterium
Lineage: Bacteria
Description: partial 16S ribosomal RNA
Rfam family: Bacterial small subunit ribosomal RNA
Source: RNAcentral